Molecule: long non-coding RNA, 1080 nt
Organism: Cryptomeria japonica (Japanese cedar)
Lineage: Eukaryota; Viridiplantae; Streptophyta; Pinopsida; Cupressales; Cupressaceae
Exons: 3
Source: RefSeq, a predicted model, not a curated record
AAUAACAAUAUAAUAAUAAAAUAUUAUUAUAAAGUCAACUUUAUUUAAUAAAGUUUCUCCUAGAAGUUUUAAGGAGGUUAAAUAAGACCUUUCUAGAAGAUCCAUCUGAACCUUUAAAAAGAGACUAGAGAAAGUCAUUUGGACAUCUUAUAUUUGAUAUUUCUUUCAGAGAAUUUUGGAGGGCUUGUUCUCUAGGAUCAGUGUGCACCAGGACAAAAACCCUUGGGUCUUUUGGUUGGUUGGACAGAAACCCAACCCUUGGUGAAUUCAUAUCAGGAUUCACAGUUGCACUUCAAUGGUCAGAUUGUGAAGAUUUUAGAAAUUUGGGGAAGUCUUUCUAAAAAGGCAAAUAGUGGGUUUCAGGCAGAUAAGAGAACUAAAUAUUAUUCUUGCAUAUUUGGAGGAAAAGGCACAAAGGGUUGCAAGCUACAGGAUGGCUACAGUACCCGCCACCAUUGUUAUCUUGUCGCAGACAUUGAGAAAGGAGUGCAAUCUGCGAACCUGAAGUGAAGGCAUCUGGAUGUUUACAGGGGAGUUGCAGUCAUUUCUUGAAGGCUUCAUAGGCCAAACCUUAGCCACUCCAUUAUGGGUUAAUACUGCUAAUAAGAGAAUUCCAGUUGAUGGUGCAAACAGAUUUAGAAGAGUCAUUGGUUAUGUUCAGAAAUCUGUUUAAAGGUGCAAAAAUCAGGGGAGAUUACCUUCAGUUCUGCCCUAGUUUGUAAAAGACCUGCAGAUUUAGAGACACCUGUACUCAGAUUUAUGUUCAAAGUCAUUCUCAGACUUCUGUAUUGUAUGGCAGCCUUUCAUGACAAUAAACAAGGUCAGAUUUGGAUUGUUUAAAUAACUUUCUUUUCAGAAUUAUAGUUGCAGAUUUCAUUAUCAGAAUUUUACCUUAUCUUUAAUUAAUGAAUGUAUGUCAUUUAUACCAAAAUUGUAAAAGAAAACCUCUUAACCUAAGGAAGCAUGCAAAGUGUAUAGUUUAAUUCUGCGUCAUAUUUUGAUUGUUUGGUAUUUGACAUAUAAAAGAUCAGUCUGUCGGGAUUAUGGAAUUUGGAUUUUGUUCUGUAUAUCCGAGAUUGG